RNAcentral lists this long non-coding RNA (2686 nucleotides) under Cricetulus griseus (Chinese hamster). RNAcentral describes it as "lncRNA (ENSCGRG00015034445.1)". The record is from RNAcentral. Lineage: Eukaryota; Metazoa; Chordata; Mammalia; Rodentia; Cricetidae.
CACCACUGUCAGGCCUGACCUCAGGUGUUUUGUUAUAGUCCUUUAAUGCUGACCCACACAGGUAUGUGUGUGUGCUUCUAUGUGCCUCUAUCACGAACGACACUGUGUUUGGGGCCAGGGCGAUGAAUAAAUGCUCGUGUGUGUGCAAACUUGAGGGCCUGGGUUCGCACCCAGAUAAAACCAAGCAAAAUGGUAAAAUAUCCUGGCCUGAGAGACAGCGUACUUAUUUCCUCAGAUGUGAUGGUAUCUGCCCUGUGGCUUUCUGGGUGAAAGGGCAUGCGAGUUUGUGGUUUUGGAGACGUUGCUGAGUUGCUGAUAGGAGCAGCUAGUGUUGACAAAGCAAGCAAGGCCCUGGUUUCUACUCAGGUGCUCAAAGUUGGCACAAAAGGACUUUUCUCAAAUUUUUAAGGUUUCAGAUGCUGAUCUUUCCCCAAAAAGGUACAGGGGUUGAAAGAUACAGGAAAGAGAAAGAGAGGGAGGCAUGGGGAGAAAAGGUGGUGGCAGAAAUGGAGGGGGAAAGAGAAGGAGAAAAGACCAAGAACCUAGGAGUCACCGGUGACUCAUGGCUAUGAUCCUAGCACCCAGGGACUGAGACGGGAGGGGCCUGUGAAGUGGAUUCCAGUAGACUCAUUGCAUCUAGGCCAAACAUUAGAAUAAAAUAGUUCUUUUCCUUCUUUUUUUUUGAAAGUGUGAAGAGACAUUUAUUCAAGACUUCUGUAUUUCUCACAAUGCUUUAAACGUCUAAUAAAAUCCCGUCUAGCUUUCACAUGCUUAAAAUAGCUGUUUUCUAAAAGUACUUAGACCUUGAGGAAAUCAUGGUGGAAAACUGAUUGUUCUCUGUUAUUUAUAGAGUUGUUUUCCUGAAGGAGCUAGACAGCCUUGCCUUGACUUUAGUCACAAAAACGGGCUGGCAAGCCUGGAAUGUCUUGCACUAUUGGGUACUGCAAACAGUGCACAAGGUUUCAGGGGUGGUGGUUUUGGUGUGCGUGACGUUUUCCUUCAGAAAACAUGAAUCAGAUCAGGGCUUUUGUAUGAGGAACUUGUUCCCAAAAAGCAACUUUUGUGCAACAUCAAUACAUGUGCUUCUGCAUGGCUGUUGGAGUUCAUUGAGGCUGACAUCCCAGCUGACUCAGAGCCUGGGUUACGACCUGGAGUGACCCCUUUCUCAGAACACUGACAUGCCUGGACGAUGGUCCUUCAAGGGAUGUUCCUGUAUGUGGCAGUCGGGGCUCAAGCCAGUUUAACUUCUCAACAGAGUCUACUUAACUCCCCAUGGAGCAGACCAGAUCUUGCCAUUCAUCCAUUCCUGCUUCCGGACCAGGUUCCUGCCUUGACUUCCGUUUUCGAUGGAUGGACCAUUACCCAGAAGCCUAAGAUAAAAUACACCUUCUCCGUCCCUUCUCCGUCCCGAGUUGCCUCCGGUCAUUGUGUUUUACCACAAUAGAAACCCGACUUCCACACCUGACUUUAAACCUCCAUUCUUUAUAAGUUAUCCAGUCUCAGGGAGUCUGUGAUAGCAAGAAAAAACAGUCUGACACAGGUUACUAAUGACUGUGCCAGAAAUGCCCUGUUGGGCCCUGCCGGGGGUUGUGAGUCUGAUUUCUGAGAACUGGGCUGCACUCACACUUGACUUGGUUGUGCUCUGUUGAAAUCCCGUGGGGCUUGCUGUUGUCCUGAACCUCAGUGCCUUGAGUUGGCGCAUUCCUGAUGACCAAGCUGCCAUCGGUGCGCUGUAUGUCUUGGCUGGUGUGAGGAUGUCCCAGAAGGCCCUAGGGAGAGAUCGUGGCUGGUGGCUGGGCUCCCGGCUCUCAGAAUCAAGAAGUGCUGAGAACUCCAUCUGGGGACAGGCAGGUGGGUGCCCGCUCCUUCCCUCCUUCUGUCUGCAUCUACUUAAAGGCAAUUGUGCAGGUGCAGGAGGUGAGCAGGCUACCUUCAAGGAGGCAGGAAGGAGGAGGGGACAGCAAGGAACAAGUGGGACCACAAGUGACAUGCUACCUACAAGUGUUACCUGCCCACAAAGGAACCCAAUGGUGCACGGGCUGGAGAAAGUGGUGCUGUUUUGGAGAGGCUAUGGAACCCUAGGACAGACAUUUUAUGUGUAUUUAUUUAUUUUCGGUUUUUCGAGACAGGGUUUCUCUGUGUAACAGCUCUGGCUAUCCUGAAACUCGCUCUGUAGACCAGGCUGGCCUUGAACUCACAGAGAUCCUCCUGUCUCUGCCUCCCGAGUGCUGGGAUUAAAGACAUGUGUCACCACCUCCCAGCUAAGGACAGCGGUCCUAACCCUGUGGGUUGCGACCCUCUGGGAGUCAAAUGACCCUUUCGCAGGGGUCGUGUAUCUGAUAUUUACAUAUUAUGAUUCAUCGCAGUAGCAAAAUUACAGUUAUGAAGCAGCAACGAAAAUAAUUUUGUGCUUGGGGGUCACCACAACACUGGGAACUGUAUUAAAGGGUUGCAGUGUUGGAAGGUUGAGAACCCCUGCUUUAGGACAGACACCCUUGCUGAAGGAAGUACGUCACCGUGGGCAGGUCUUGAGUGUUCAUAACCUUGCCAUACUUCCUGUUCUCCCCUUUCUGCCUAGGGUUGGCCUGUCCAACCAGCUCCCUGAUGGUGUAGCCACGAAUCCCUGACUGGUUGCCAUUCCUUCCCGACUGAAUUCCAUCCCCUCGGCACUCAAACCAAAAUAAAC